Molecule: ribosomal RNA, 253 nt
Filed under: uncultured bacterium
Lineage: Bacteria
Description: partial 16S ribosomal RNA
Rfam family: Bacterial small subunit ribosomal RNA
Source: RNAcentral
UACGUAGGGCGCAAGCGUUAUCCGGAAUUAUUGGGCGUAAAGAGCUCGUAGGCGGUUUGUCGCGUCUGCUGUGAAAGACCGGGGCUCAACUCCGGUUCUGCAGUGGGUACGGGCAGACUAGAGUGCAGUAGGGGAGACUGGAAUUCCUGGUGUAGCGGUGGAAUGCGCAGAUAUCAGGAGGAACACCGAUGGCGAAGGCAGGUCUCUGGGCCACUACUGACGCUGAGAAGCGAAAGCAUGGGGAGCGAACAGG